UUCAACAGGGGUGAAAUCUGUAUACACCGUGAAUUUUUUGAUUAAAGUACCUUUUAGGUGGUCAAAUGACUAGGAUUAGAUACCCUAUUAGUCCACUCUUAAUUAACCUGGGUAGUAGUAUCGAAACCUAAAGAAUUUGGCGGUUUCUAAACCUACUAGAGGAACCUGCCCCAUAAACGACAAUCCACGAAAAAAUUCACCCGGGCUAGUUAUGCAGCUUAUAUACCGUCGUUCAGAGGACUAAAUAAAUAGAUCCUCUUAAAAGCUUAGGCUAAUAAAUCAGAUCAAGGUGUAGCUUAUGCCCGGGAGAGGGUGGGUUACAAUGAAAAUUCAUACGGAACUUCUAUUUUAUGAUAGAAAAGAAGGUGGAUUUAGAAGUAAGACUUAAUAUACUGAAAAAGGCUCUCAGAAAUGUACAC
RNAcentral lists this ribosomal RNA (419 nucleotides) under Artemia urmiana. RNAcentral's name for it is "partial small subunit ribosomal RNA". The record is from RNAcentral. Lineage: Eukaryota; Metazoa; Arthropoda; Branchiopoda; Anostraca; Artemiidae.